CUGGAUAUGUGACGUGGCCGCAUGGUCUGCGUCUGGAAAGAAUUUCGGUUGGGGAUGGGCUCGCGGCCUAUCAGCUUGUUGGUGAGGUAAUGGCUCACCAAGGCGUCGACGGGUAGCCGGCCUGAGAGGGUGACCGGCCACACUGGGACUGAGACACGGCCCAGACUCCUACGGGAGGCAGCAGUGGGGAAUAUUGCACAAUGGGCGAAAGCCUGAUGCAGCAACGCCGCGUGAGGGAUGACGGCCUUCGGGUUGUAAACCUCUUUUAGCAGGGAAGAAGCGAAAGUGACGGUACCUGCAGAAAAAGCGCCGGCUAACUACGUGCCAGCAGCCGCGGUAAUACGUAGGGCGCAAGCGUUAUCCGGAAUUAUUGGGCGUAAAGAGCUCGUAGGCGGUUUGUCGCGUCUGCUGUGAAAUCCGGAGGCUCAACCUCCGGCCUGCAGUGGGUACGGGCAGACUAGAGUGCGGUAGGGGAGAUUGGAAUUCCUGGUGUAGCGGUGGAAUGCGCAGAUAUCAGGAGGAACACCGAUGGCGAAGGCAGAUCUCUGGGCCGUAACUGACGCUGAGGAGCGAAAGGGUGGGGAGCAAACAGGCUUAGAUACCCUGGUAGUCCACCCCGUAAACGUUGGGAACUAGUUG
Molecule: ribosomal RNA, 639 nt
Filed under: Microbacterium sp.
Lineage: Bacteria; Bacillati; Actinomycetota; Actinomycetes; Micrococcales; Microbacteriaceae
Description: bacterial SSU rRNA
Rfam family: Bacterial small subunit ribosomal RNA
Source: RNAcentral